Non-coding RNA from Hordeum vulgare subsp. vulgare (domesticated barley), 125 nucleotides. The record is from Rfam. NCBI's taxonomy places the organism in Eukaryota, Viridiplantae, Streptophyta, Magnoliopsida, Poales, Poaceae.
AAUGUACUCCCUCCGUCCGAAAAUACUUGUCACGGGUAUGGAUACAUCUAGAUGUAUUUUAGUUCUAGAUACAUUCAUUUUUAUAAAUUUGUACGACAAGUAAUUCCGGACGGGGGGAGUAUAAG